Balaenoptera acutorostrata (minke whale) is the source of this 1595-nucleotide long non-coding RNA. RefSeq lists it as uncharacterized. The record is from RefSeq and is a predicted model, not a curated record. The transcript has 4 exons. NCBI's taxonomy places the organism in Eukaryota, Metazoa, Chordata, Mammalia, Artiodactyla, Balaenopteridae.
UCACGGAACCCUGGCAGUGGCAGUCUGCACCGGCUCCCAGGAGGGGCGGUGUGGAGAGUGACCUGUGCUCGCACACAGGCUUCUCAGUGGCGGCAGCAGCAGCCUUAGCGUCUCAUGCCCGUCUCUGGGGUCCACGCUGAUGGCCGCGGCUCGUGCCCGUCUCUGGAGCUCGUUUAGGCGGCGCUCUGAAUCCCCUCUCCUCACGCACCAGGAAACAAAGAGGUGUGGUCUCUUCUCCAUAACCAAGUGUGGUAAUGGAAAGGGUGGUGUUCUCAGCCUCCGACUCUUCGUCUUCAUUUCCAUCAGAAUCUUCGUUCUCUUCAUUGUUUUCUUCUUCAUUUGAAGUCUCCUGGGAUUCUGGAACCUGGGGAGGGACACAGUAAAUAUUUAGGAGGGAAAAUGAUGAGGACUUGAAACAUCAAGUUGGAAUAUAGGCGAUGACAUUCACGGAUGAAUAAAAUAAUGGCUCCUAUGAUUCGGACUUGGCAGUGCCACCCACUGAAAGAGAGAAAACACAGUAUGAGGAAUAGAACAGGAGUUGAGAGGACGGCAAAUUGCAUUUGACAUGACUGUGGAACAUCCAAGUAGAGAAGCCCAGCUGGAGUUGGAAACAGAAAUCUGAAAUUUGGAGAAGAGGUUAUCUGCAUGUGGGUGGUCGUUGAAACCAUGAGACAAUUAGAUUCCUAAAAGAGUAUAACGUGUGAAAAAUGUAAUUCACCAAAUAUCUAAUGACUCAACACUCUCUGAGGAAACAUCAAUAUAUAAUACAUGGUCAGAUAAGAGAAAUCCAUAAAGAGAGAGAGGGAAAAAAGUCAAAGAUUCUGUUUGGAGUAUCAUUAUAGUCUCAAAAGGAAAACAACUGAAAACACUCUAAGUAAAUCUGACUCAAAUGCCACCUAAACCUGAAUUUGAAGGUCAUGGGACAAAGGCGGCAAGCUUUAACAAAUCUCCGCUUCCCACCACAGUCUGUCAAUCUGCCAGCCAGCUGUACCAUCAUCACCUGGGAAGCUUUUUAGAGAUAAACGUUCCAAGCCCCUUGCCUGUGUAUUUUGAUCUAGGGGGUCUCACGUGAGGCUCAGGACUCAGUAGUUUUAGAAGCUUCUUCAAUCCAACAUGCCGCCAGCUUUGGAAACUUCUUCCUAACACCUUCAGCCCUCACCACCUCAAGGCCCACCUGAAGGGAUCUCCUGUCUCUCUGCAGUCCUUGCUGGAGCCCACCUUGCCUACAGCUUCUAACACAGGCACCCCGCCAAGUUGCCAGCAAGCCUCAAUGCUCCAGUGUUAGUGGCAUGAAGUCUGAGUCCCCAGAGGCAGCAGGAUGUUUAGGCUGCUUGCUUUGCUGCUGCAUGAGACCUGCGGUUUCCCAUCAUCCUACAUGAGGGCCAGCGAAUCCUCAGUUCUUCUCACCUGAACUCAUCAAGCUCCACAUGUUGGGGUCUGUCUUUUGCAGCCCCUAUUUCUUUUAUAUCAAGUUCUAAUUAGUAUUUUUCGGUUGCAAGUAAGUGAACCAAAUCUAGCUAGCUUAAGAAAACGAGAUAUUUAUUAGAAGGCUAUUAGGAUAAUGGAUAAAACUCAAAGACAGAAAUGCAACUGGG